This 114-nucleotide ribosomal RNA is filed under the name Streptococcus dysgalactiae subsp. dysgalactiae. The record is from RNAcentral. Lineage: Bacteria; Bacillati; Bacillota; Bacilli; Lactobacillales; Streptococcaceae.
AGUGACGAUAGCCUAGGAGAUACACCUGUACCCAUGCCGAACACAGUAGUUAAGCCCUAGAACGCCUGAAGUAGUUGGGGGUUGCCGCCUGUUAGAUACGGUAGUCGCUUAGCU